UGGGGAAUCGUCUAACGGCAGGACCUUGGAUUCUGAUUCCAAGUAUCUAGGUUCGAAUCCUAGUUCCCCAACCA
This 74-nucleotide transfer RNA is filed under the name Deltaproteobacteria bacterium. Its description in RNAcentral is "tRNA-Gln". It matches the Rfam family "tRNA". From Rfam's summary of the family: Transfer RNA (tRNA) molecules are approximately 80 nucleotides in length. Their secondary structure includes four short double-helical elements and three loops (D, anti-codon, and T loops). Lineage: Bacteria; Pseudomonadati; Myxococcota; Myxococcia. The record is from RNAcentral.